UUGCUCUGGGGAUGCAAAAGAGGGAAAUCCCUGCACUUUCUCUCUGUCUUUGUGGCAGCUGGGAUUGAAUUGGGGAAUGCAUCU
RNAcentral lists this small nucleolar RNA (84 nucleotides) under Pan troglodytes (chimpanzee). RNAcentral's name for it is "Small nucleolar RNA SNORA31 (ENSPTRG00000036844.2)". It matches the Rfam family "Small nucleolar RNA SNORA31", at positions 48 to 130 of the family's 130-position model. From Rfam's summary of the family: ACA31 (SNORA31) belongs to the H/ACA class of snoRNAs which are thought to guide the sites of modification of uridines to pseudouridines. Lineage: Eukaryota; Metazoa; Chordata; Mammalia; Primates; Hominidae. The record is from RNAcentral.